AAACUUUACAAUGCGGGAAACCGUGAUAAGGGGACACCGAGUGCUAGCAUCAUAUGCUGGCUGUCCAGGUGUGUAAAAUACACCUGUUAGCAAGGGCCGGGCAAGACCGGUGCCAGCCGCCGCGGUAACACCGGCGGCCCGAGUGGUGAUCGUGAUUAUUGGGUCUAAAGGGUCCGUAGCCGGUUUGGUCAGUCCUCCGGGAAAUCUGAUAGCUCAACUAUUAGGCUUUCGGGGGAUACUGCCAGGCUUGGAACCGGGAGAGGUAAGAGGUACUACAGGGGUAGGAGUGAAAUCUUGUAAUCCCUGUGGGACCACCUGUGGCGAAGGCGUCUUACCAGAACGGGUUCGACGGUGAGGGACGAAAGCUGGGGGCACGAACCGGAUUAGAUACCCGGGUAGUCCCAGCCGUAAACGAUGCUCGCUAGGUGUCAGGCAUGGCGCGACCGUGUCUGGUGCCGCAGGGAAGCCGUGAAGCGAGCCACCUGGGAAGUACGGCCGCAAGGCUGAAACUUAAAGGAAUUGGCGGGGGAGCACAACAACGGGUGGAGCCUGCGGUUU
RNAcentral lists this ribosomal RNA (558 nucleotides) under uncultured Methanosarcina sp. Its description in RNAcentral is "bacterial SSU rRNA". It matches the Rfam family "Archaeal small subunit ribosomal RNA", at positions 345 to 903 of the family's 1478-position model. The record is from RNAcentral. Lineage: Archaea; Methanobacteriati; Methanobacteriota; Methanomicrobia; Methanosarcinales; Methanosarcinaceae.